Molecule: long non-coding RNA, 4934 nt
Filed under: Homo sapiens (human)
Lineage: Eukaryota; Metazoa; Chordata; Mammalia; Primates; Hominidae
Description: EOGT divergent transcript (EOGT-DT)
Source: RNAcentral
AGUGGCGAGCACCCCGCCGCGGCUGAGACGCCGCGCUGGGGUUCCGGACCCCGGGCGCCGCCAGGGAUUGCUUCGGGGUCGGUGAUCUCCCGGGGCCGCCCGCCACCGUGCACCGCGGCGCCCCGGGUCCCCAGCGCGCCUGGGAGGGGCCCCGGGGAGCGGCUCCGCCCCGGCUGGAAACCUGGUCAACGCGGCUAGGGCCCGGGGCCCGCCUGCGCUCCGGGCGCUGGGAAGGGGCCGGGCGCCCGGGGCCGGGGAGGGCCAGGAUCGGCUUCCGACGCCCGCCUCCCGGCCCGCAGGGAAUGGGAAGGCGCGGGCGGAGUGCGUGCGUAGGCUAUAGCCCUCCGGGAAGCCGCGCCGGGAGCGGCUACCACCCGGGCAAGAACAGCGCAGAGCGCUGCGGCGGCGGGAAGGAGAGCGGGGGAAGGCUCCGCAGAUUGCGGGGGAGUCCCACCUGGAGCCGGGGCAGCCGUGAACUACCGAGGAGGAGGCGGAGGAGACGGCGGCUGUUCCAGAGGAGGGAGUCGUCAUAACCGGCUACUGCCGCUCACCGGAAACCUCGGGCGCGGGAGCUGGGCCAGGGGGCGCCAAGGAGCAGCUGGGACACCUUGGCCAGCCGGCGCCGUGGGCGGGCUCGGGCCCCGCAGAGGCAGGACCGGGACUACACCCAGGAGGGCCAGGGCGCGGGGCCCGACGCUCGGAGCGGCUUCAGCCCGGCGAGCGGCCUCGACCCGGCGAGCGCAGCAGGGAGGGGCUCAGAGUCGAGGAACCAUCUGCCCUUCCUGGCGUUCUCCCGCGAACGUUCGCGCGAGUCCGCCAGCUCCCUCACCAGGGCCGGAAAGACCGACGGCACGUGCCGGCGCCGGACGCCCAUCUCCAUCGCAGCAGCCCGCGCCUCCUUGAGCGAGAGCGUUAAAGCGCUCAGAGGAUGUUAGGACGGGGUGGGUAGAAAACCUGACUCUUCGUGUCUUCUGCGUUGCACUGAGGUGGAUUUUUACUUUUGUCUUAUUUCAAGCAGAAGUUGCCGCCCUAACUUCCAAAUUUGGGGACUGAACAUCGUUCACCGAAUACACUUUGUGAUGGUGAGGAUACUUUGGAGUCCACACACAUUUUAAAAGCAGUAUAGUUUUACCUAUCCGUAAACUCAUCAAGUUCAAAUGCUACUCUGUGGAGUUUAAUUUUUAUGGUUUUGUUAAUUUACUUUAUUACUGCUUAUAAUUAUUUGAACUCCCAUCCCCCACUGUCUUUUCCUCUAAGCUCCCCCAGGCCUAGUAUUCCAUCUACAGCACAGUAGAGUUGAUCAUUAAAUAGUGACUAAAGUUGAACUGAUUAUAUGAAGGUGAUGACUUCAAAAUAAACAUGCUCAAAUGAAUAUAGUCACCAGAAGUUAAAUAAUAUGAUCAUAAGGAAACAAGUUUGUUUCCAAAGGCUUACAUGCUUUUUACGUAAUUUUUAAAAGUAAUGUUGUUUAAGAAUUGUUACAAGUUCCAUUAGUGACCUGCUAAAUUAGGAAUCUUACCUGGAAUUUUUUUCAAAUAAUAACAGCAAGAACAUGUGGUGUUUAACAUGUGCCAAACAUUGUUUUAAAGCACUUUACAGUAUUAAUUUAUUCUUUUUAUUGAAAAGAUUUUGCCUCUAAGGGAACUGUCAAGAGGCAUGUGAACCGGAGCAACUCCAUCUUAAAUAGGAGCUGAGUAAAAUGAGGCUGAAACCUACUGGGCUGCAUUCCCAGGCCGUUAAAGCAUUCUAAGUCGCAGAAUGAGAUAGGAAGUCGGCACAAGAUACAGGUCAUAAAGACCUUGUUGAUAAAACAGGUUGCAGUAAAUAAGCCGGCUAAAUCCCACCAAAACCAAGAUGGCCAUGAAAGAGACCUCUGGUAGUCCUUACUACUAUACUCCUAUCAGCGCCAUGACAGUUUACGAAUGCCAUGGCAAUGUCAGGAAGUUACCCUAUAUGGUCUUAAAAGGGGAGGCAUGAAUAAUCCACCUGUUUAGCAUAUCAUCAAGAAAUAACCAUAAAAAUGGGCAACCAGCAGCACUCAGGGCUGCUUUGUCUAUGGAGUAGCCAUUCUUUUCUUCCUUUACUUUCUUUUUUUUUUUCCUUUACUUUCUUAACAAACUUGCUUACACUUUGCCCUGAAUUCUUUCUUGCUCGAGAUCCAAGAACCCUCUCUUGGGGUCUGGAUUGGGACCCCUUUCCUAUAACAGAAUUACUGCUCUAUUAUUUUAUACUUUGCAUACUUCACCAUCCCACACUAAUGACAGUAAUUUUUUAAAAUGCUUCCUCAAGCCAGGCACUGUGGCUCAUGCCAGUAGUCCCAGCUACUCAGGAUGAUCGCUUGAGCCCAGUGAGGUUGAGGCUGCAGUGAGCCAUGAUUGAGACACUGCACUCUAGCCUGGGCCACAGUGAGACCCUGUCUCAUAAAAAAAAAAAAAAAAAGCUUCCUCAGCCUACUUGCUACCAUCCUAUUUUUGUCACAUACAAAAAGGUUAAAAUCAGUAUGACAUGUGCAUGGUACUAUUUUAUUUUAUUUUUUUUGUAGAAACAGGUUCUUGCUAUGUUCCCAGCACUUGUUUCCAACUCCGGGCCUCAAGUGAUCUUCCAGCCUCGGCCUCCUAAAGUGCUGGGUUUACAGUUGUGAGCCACCACGCCUGGCUAUGUGGUGCUAUUUUAAACACCUACAUAUUGAAUGGUCAUUCAGACUUACAGGAAACCAGAUAUGAUAAACCUGAACAUGAGAUUGAGUCUCUCUUACUGUAACAGCCAUUCUCAAAUAGAAUUUCUCUCCAAAAUACCAAUGUUAGAAUUUAAAUUUUCUUUGAGCUGACAUAAAACUCAAGUGUCUACCAAUAGAAGGCUGGUUGAAUAAACUAUGGUUUAUCCAUACAAUGUAAAACUAUGCAUGCAUAAAAAGGAAUUGAGAAAUAUCUCUGUACACUACAGAAUAUUGAGUGGGAAAAGGAUAUGUAAUAUGUAAAUAUCAUUUUUCUAAGAGGAAUAUGUGUGUAUACAUGUGUAUACACAUAUAUAUUUACUAAUUAUUAUUUUACAAGUAGAUUAACAUUUAAAAUGACUAUAUGGGCAAGGAGGGAAGAGGAGGGGUAUAAGGAACAAAGAAGACAUGACUUUGUUUUUUGGUGUGUGUGUGUGUGUGUGUGUGUAUGUGUGUGUGUGUGUGUGUGACAGAGUCUUACUCUUUUGCCCAGGCUGGAGUACAAUGGUGCAAUCUUGGCUCACUGCAACCUCCAUCUCCUGGGUUCAAGCAAUUCUUCUCCCUCAGACUCCUGAGUAACUGCGAUUACAGGCAUGCGCCACCAUGCCUGACAAAUAUUUAUAUUUUUAGUAGAGACGGGGUUUCACUGUAUUGGCCAGGCUGGUCUCGAACUCCUGACCUCAAGUGAUCCGCCCACCUCAGCCUCCCAAACUGCUUGGAUUACAGGCGUGAGCCACCACGCCUGGCGUGAAGACAUGACUUUGAAGUCAUGUAAAUAUGUUACAUUAUAAAGCAAAAUUCUGUUUUUAAAAAGCAAUCCUUGAAAGUAAAAUGAAACUAAAUGAACCUAAAUGUUUUCCAAUUGUGGCAUAUCACCCAGAGGAGCUAUCCCAAGUGACUUUAAAACUUAAUUUGUAUAUACUUAGUGGGAUGUAUUCUCAGGACUAAAGUACAAAAAAACUCUUUUGUAGACUGCAUUCCGUAACCAAAUUGUUGGUGGCAAUAUUGGUAUUAUGGGAUACACCAAGUUGAAGUAAUUAUGAUGGUACCUUUGAAGCUGAAAUUUUUGACAUGAGAUAGAAAUAUGAAAGCUUAAUCAGGCUAUAUAAACAUCCUGUAGUUCUGAAUUUCAGUUGGAGGCCUCAGUAUGAUUAACAGUAUGGUUAAUCUUUAAAAACACAUCUCUCCUACGUGCUCCAUUGAAAAGGCCUAGAGACAAGCUACCCAGGAGGAAGAAGCACCCCCUUGCGCUCACACUGUGAUCUCUACCAACCAUUUCCCAUUAAAAGAAACACUGACUCCAUAGAACAAUGGAUGAUCUUGGGUCUGGAGCAGGAAAUGUACAAGAUAAGCCUGCAACAUCUUACAUCAGGAAGCAGCAAAGCAAUCAAAAGGCUAUUAGGGUCAUAUCAAAAGGACUCAGGAUCCACCUUGAAAACCUUCCUACUGGCCAAAGAUAGGAUGAUUUAAAACAUAAAUAAAGGUAACUGUAAUUGGAUGAAGGACAGAUACAUUUAAGUAAUCAUAUCAGACACGACCAAUCAACCAAACAUGCAAGCCAAAAAGGUAUCGCUGUUCAUUUUUAAUGACAGAAGGAAACCAACUCUUAUUCUGAAAACUGGUAAACAAAGGGAAAGAAUCAGGAAUAUUUAUACUGUCUUUCCUGUAUGAAUUAUGAUGCAAAUAACAAAAUAACUGAAGUAAAUUUUUUAUGGAAACAUUCCAACUACUAAAUGAAAAAGAAAUGACAAUAUCACUCCACAAGCUCUGUGAACUAAUAGAUUUAAGAAGUGAUCAUCAAUUAUUUCUUUAUCACAACUGAGAAACCAUCAGGAAUUAUCUGUCUCCUGCUGGAAGAAUACACUUCCACCUAAUGAAGUAUUUUUGUUGAAAAAUAAUUGCCUUUAGAUUUAAACACAGGAGGCGGAACACACUAACAAAAGGUAAGAAAUCAACAUCCAGAUGGAGGGAAACUAUAGGACAAAUGACCUAGUUUUUUCUACAAAUAAGAAACUUCAUCGAAAUUGCAAGAAUUAAGAAAAAGAGAGACAGAGAUGGAAGAAUGCAUGGCUUAAAAAAUUUGAGACAAAUCCAACAAAUUACAAUGAGUAAAUUGCUAACAAUAUCAGCAGAAUGUAGUAUACUGGUUCUCUCAUCCAACUGUUAGACCAUAAUUAAAAGGUGUUGACAUUUUUAAUGAAUAAAUUUUGGCUGUAACUGA